This 496-nucleotide ribosomal RNA is filed under the name uncultured bacterium. RNAcentral's name for it is "partial 16S ribosomal RNA". It matches the Rfam family "Bacterial small subunit ribosomal RNA", at positions 29 to 507 of the family's 1533-position model. The record is from RNAcentral.
AUGCACGCUGGCGGCGUGCCUAAUACCUGCAAGUCGAGCGAACAGAUGAGGAGCUUGCUCCUCUGACGUUAGCGGCGGACGGGUGAGUAACACGUGGAUAACCUACCUAUAAGACUGGGAUAACUUCGGGAAACCGGAGCUAAUACCGGAUAAUAUAUUGAACCGCAUGGUUCAAUAGUGAAAGACGGUUUUGCUGUCACUUAUAGAUGGAUCCGCGCCGCAUUAGCUAGUUGGUAAGGUAACGGCUUACCAAGGCGACGAUGCGUAGCCGACCUGAGAGGGGUAUCCGCCACACUUGAACUGAGACAAGGUCCAGACUCCUACGGGAGGCAGCAGGAGGGAAUCCUCCGGCAAGGGCGGAAGCCUGACGGAGCAAAGCCGGGGGAGGGAAGAAGGUCUUCGGAUCGGAAAACUCUGUUAUUAGGGAAGAACAAAUGUGUAAGUAACCAAGCACGUCUUGAAGGUAACUAAUCAGAAAGGCACGGCUAACUAAGUG